CAGCCGCCACGGGAAUACGUAGGGUGCAAGCGUUAAUCGGAAUUACUGGGCGUAAAGCGUGCGCAGGCGGUUAUAUAAGACAGAUGUGAAAUCCCCGGGCUCAACCUGGGAACUGCAUUUGUGACUGUAUAGCUAGAGUACGGCAGAGGGGGAUGGAAUUCCGCGUGUAGCAGUGAAAUGCGUAGAUAUGCGGAGGAACACCGAUGGCGAAGGCAAUCCCCUGGGCCUGUACUGACGCUCAUGCACGAAAGCGUGGGGAGCAAACAGGAUUAGAUACCCCGGUAGUCCCUGUCUUUAUACA
Molecule: ribosomal RNA, 301 nt
Filed under: uncultured bacterium
Lineage: Bacteria
Description: partial 16S ribosomal RNA
Rfam family: Bacterial small subunit ribosomal RNA
Source: RNAcentral